GACGAACGCUGGCGGCGUGCUUAACACAUGCAAGUCGAACGGAAAGGCCCUGCUUUUGUGGGGUGCUCGAGUGGCGAACGGGUGAGUAACACGUGAGUAACCUGCCCUUGACUUUGGGAUAACUUCAGGAAACUGGGGCUAAUACCGGAUAGGAGCUCCUGCUGCAUGGUGGGGGUUGGAAAGUUUCGGCGGUUGGGGAUGGACUUGCGGCUUAUCAGCUUGUUGGUGGGGUAGUGGCUUACCAAGGCUUUGACGGGUAGCCGGCCUGAGAGGGUGACCGGCCACAUUGGGACUGAGAUACGGCCCAGACUCCUACGGGAGGCAGCAGUGGAGAAUAUUGCACAAUGGGCGGAAGCCUGAUGCAGCAACGCCGCGUGCGGGAUGACGGCCUUCGGGUUGUAAACCGCUUUCGCCUGUGACGAAGCGUGAGUGACGGUAAUGGGUAAAGAAGCACCGGCUAACUACGUG
This 468-nucleotide ribosomal RNA is filed under the name uncultured bacterium. Its description in RNAcentral is "partial 16S ribosomal RNA". It matches the Rfam family "Bacterial small subunit ribosomal RNA", at positions 28 to 507 of the family's 1533-position model. The record is from RNAcentral.